Long non-coding RNA from Xenopus laevis (African clawed frog), 2285 nucleotides. RefSeq lists it as uncharacterized. The record is from RefSeq and is a predicted model, not a curated record. The transcript is spliced from 2 exons. Lineage: Eukaryota; Metazoa; Chordata; Amphibia; Anura; Pipidae.
AUUGCACUAUGCCAGACAGAAUGGAACAGCACCACUUAUCUUAUGAAGAAUAAAAAUGCCCUUAUUGCAAACUUUUUAAGGCAUUGCAGCAAUGUUUCAGGCCACGUUUGACCCUUGCACUAUGCAGCAUACAUUAACAUUUUCCUUUCUGAGCACAAAAUAAUUCUGUUUUAUUGUUCUCUUUUUGGCUUUGCACACUGAAUCCAUCACAGAACUGACCCAUGUUACAACACCUAUUCCUCAAGCCAGUGGAAAGUCUAGGACAAAUAAUGGGAGGGAUCUCCGUAUUUGACAGAAAGGAUCUCCCAGGAGAUGAAAACCAAGUAUUUCUGGGACCAGCAGUGACACACGUCAGACAAAAGCUCUGCUUUUCUAUAAAUGAAGGAGAAGUCUGCGCAUUUGCUGAGUUACCAACUAGUUCAUCACUGCUUGCAUCCAGCAGCACAUCUUGUGUGCACAUCCAUUGUAUAUCUGACUGCAGUGAGCACACUGGAAAACCCAUUUUGUAGGAGAGAUUUCUGCAUUCUUUCAUCGUAAGGUUUUCUUGAAAGAUUGCAGAGCUGCGAAAUUAAAAUGACACGCAAGAUUUUCACUAACACCAGAGAAAGAUGGAGGCAGCAGAAUGUUAACAGUGCAUUUGCUGAGCUAAGGAAGCUCAUCCCAACCCACCCACCAGACAAGAAACUGAGCAAGAAUGAAACGCUGAGACUGGCCAUGAAAUACAUCAACUUCCUCAUUGAUAUCCUCGGAGAUCAAGAAAUAAGGAAAACCGGAGGAAGCUCUCGGGGAAGUAUUUUGGGUCUCUUUGAGUCGGAACACUCAAGUAUGGGAGACUGGACUGAUAUGGGUCACAGCAAUGACUCUUCCCCAGGGAUGAGCAGUGACACACAGGACUGCUGGUCAUUGGACCCCUCACCAUAAUAAUGAGAGAAUGGGAAUAGUAUCCAAUGUCUAAGUGUAUGUGCGUUAAACUAUUGUGCUGAAUUAGGUCUGUAAUGGAGAUAUCUUGAUAUUGUUUUCUCAUUUAUAAAGACAUGGGCCGUUAUAAGGCAAUAAUGUCUGCCAUACCAGAAGUGAGAGGGUUGUCUUAUCAGCAUGCUUAAAAUGUAACGUUGAUACUGAUCAAGUACUUAUUAUGGUUCCAAUGUCAGACGCUAAAUGCCAUAUCACAGGGUUGACUUCGCAGCACGUUUUCAUCGGCCAUUUUGAUAAGGUGCAGCAUUGGACAAACAAUAGGAAAUGGCAUUGACAUCAGAGAGAUUAACCCUUCCAUUUUACUUGCUACAGUUCAGUUGAAAUGGAUUAUUCAAAAUAAUUGCUCACACUGGGCUACCUCAUUUCAUGUUUUCUUUACUCUCAUAGCUUAUUUUACCACAUUGUCAACAAAGACUAGGCUUCUUAACCAGGGACCUAAUAUAUUAUAUUAAAAUUAGGGGUCAUUAAUAAAUACGGAUAUUGCCUACCUUGCCAGCAUUUGUACAUUUGUGUCUUUCAUGGAAGAAAUGGUUUUCCAGGGAAGAACCGACUGCUGGCGAAGGUAAGCAGAAGUUUCCACAUAUGUUCUUUUAUUUUAACGAAAAUAUGGAUUGGUUAUUGGAUGCAUUGCUGCUCUUAGUGUAAAUCCUUUACUCCAUUGAAAAUGGAUAUUUACAUAAAUGUCAAUUGAAUUCAGUGAAUUAACCUACAAUGUACUGUUCCACAUACAUGGCCAUUCUCGUAGUAAAUAGCUAAAUGUACAAUAGCAUAGAGACAUGUUAUGCGUUGUUUUAAUUGCUGAAACACUGGGUUAAAUUGCCAAAAACUGACCUCCAUUAGCUCCUCUUCUUUGUCAUUGUCAAUUGAGACUUGACAGACAAGUACUUGUGAAUUCUCACAGGGGCUACUUUGACACCCAAAAAAAUUCACCCAAAGUCUCCCAUUAUACCAUUGCCUAAACCUCAACAACAUGCCUGUGAGACAAACAUAUAGCUGGACUUGGAACCUUCUUCAGUGAUAUCAGUUAUUUCUUCUUUCAUAAUCUUUCUGAAAAAAUUGCCCCUAAUGGAAUAAGACUGUUCUAAAUGUACAUGUCAAUGCUUAUCCUUGAUGACUGGAUUUUAUUUCCAUGAAUAUUUAUGAAGAUGAUUUUGUAGGUUGGCAAUUAAAGGAUUGUGAGCUUUCCCAAACCAUAUUUAGUUAGCUGCACCGACCAAAGAAUUUUGUUUGGGGGGAUUUAAAAUUUGUGAUACGUAUACUUGUAUUUAUUUGUUAUUUAUUCCAAUAAAUUAUUGAAUCAUUUUUUCAUA